UACGUAGGGUGCGAGCGUUGUCCGGAAUUACUGGGCGUAAAGAGCUUGUAGGCGGCUUGUCUCUUCUAUCUUUCCCCCUUUUUUCUCCCCCCCAAGCUUGCGGUCGAUACGGGCAGGCUUGAGUACUUCAGGGGAGACUGGAAUUCCUGGUGUAGCGGUGAAAUGCGCAGAUAUCAGGAGGAACACCGGUGGCGAAGGCGGGUCUCUGGGAAGUAACUGACGCUGAGAAG
Molecule: ribosomal RNA, 230 nt
Filed under: uncultured microorganism
Description: partial 16S ribosomal RNA
Rfam family: Bacterial small subunit ribosomal RNA
Source: RNAcentral